Molecule: long non-coding RNA, 1005 nt
Filed under: Mytilus galloprovincialis (Mediterranean mussel)
Lineage: Eukaryota; Metazoa; Mollusca; Bivalvia; Mytilida; Mytilidae
Source: RNAcentral
AUUCGGAAUUACGAUACGAUAUUUCUUUACAGGAAAUAUUUAAAGUUUUUACUUUUAAACUUUGAAAGUAAUUCUAAAUUAUCGUUACAGCAGUACUCGAGUUAUUUGCGUUGAAAUAAUAUUUACUGUUUUGCGUCUUAUUUUGUACUUCUUAAAAAAGGGGGAUACUGAUUGCGUAAGUCAAAACAAAGCACGUGUUCGACUUGUUAAACUGUUUUCUUUGUAACUGGAUUAUUAAUUUAUUUAUUUAAUCUAAAUUAUCAUAAUCAUUUGCUAAAACUUAGUUGAUCAUUUUGACAAAUGAAUCGUCUAUCCUCAGAUAGUAUUCUCGUGUCUGGUUUGUUGAUCUACCUGUACAAGCUCAGGUACAAGUGAUUAGCGAUCUUAAUCCGUAUAUUCCUCAGGCGUUAGAACUGUAUUGGAUUAUAACAUAAAAAGCCUAAGGGUUAUUCAAUUACAUGCAUUUGAUUAUAAUUGGUAAAAAAAAAUGGCGUCGGGCUACAAAAAAGAUGAAUUUUUGAACGAUAGCGGAAGACAUUUAACGAUGGCGCAAGACAAUUUAACGAUGGCGCGAGUCAUUUGACGAUGGCGCAUGACAUUUGAACGAUGGCGGGGCGCCAUCGUUAAACAGGCCAUGGAGAUCCCUGGUCAAGUGAAAACUGUCUGACGGGCAUGAGGACCUUGCAAGGUACACACAUACCAAAUAUAGUUAUCCUAUUACUUAUAAUAAGAGAGAAUUCAACAUUAUAAAAAUUCUGAACUUUUUUUUCAAGUGGUCACUGAACCAUGAAAAUGAGGUCAAGGACAUUGGACAUGUGACUGACGGAAACUUCGUAACAUGAGGCAUCUAUAUACAAAGUAUGAAGCAUCCAGGUCUUUCACCUUCUAAAAUAUAAACCUUUUAAGAAGUUAGCUAACACCGCCGCCGUAGCCGCCGUAGCCGCCGCCGGAUCACUAUCCCUAUGUCGAGCUUUCUGCAACAAAAGUUGCAGGCUCGACAAAAAU